Long non-coding RNA from Zonotrichia leucophrys gambelii, 2354 nucleotides. RefSeq lists it as uncharacterized. Lineage: Eukaryota; Metazoa; Chordata; Aves; Passeriformes; Passerellidae. The record is from RefSeq and is a predicted model, not a curated record. The transcript has 4 exons.
GAAACACUGAAAAAGAGAGCUGUAGACCCAGAGCUGCUAGGAUUAAAAUGGGGAGGUAGGCUUUACAUUAAAAGGCUCAAAGGCAUAUAAAAACCCUCAGACUGGAAAUGUGUCAGAUUACCCAGGGCAGCUGCGCUCUGAUGAAAAAGUAGAGAAAUUGGCCCCACGAAAAAUAGUCACAACAGAACACCUGAUGGAGAACACUUCUCUCUUUUUUUAGGACUGGUGUGCUCAGCCCCUCCCCUACCUUCAUCUCUUGAUCAUCUCUAAUGAAAGACACAAUGAAGAGACCUUUUAUAAAGGACAAUGAAGAGAAGAUAGUUUUUCCAGUGCUUAUUUGAUUGGACACUUUUCAUAAGUGCUGGUGUGUGACAAGCAAAAGGUAGAGGAAAACAAAGAAACUCCAGCUGCUAUGGAACGGUCUAAAUACAGGGGCUAAACUUCCUGGCAUUGUCUCAUGGUAUUGAAACAAAUACUGAGAAUCUGAAGGGAUGCAUCAGGACUGUUACUGAGGGGAUGGAUUGCUGAUGUGACAGAAACUGCUGCAUAUGAAAGGGUGAUAUAUGGAAUGGAAAGUAAGUCAGAUGAAUUUGAAGGUAUUUGUAAUCUAUUCUCCAGCUACAUCAGAAGAAAUGUCCUGAAAUAUGAUAGAAGAUAGUGGAGAGAGGUUGAAGGGUGAAUGAAAGCUUUUGUUUCAAAAGGUAAUAAUAAUAACAACUUAUCUCCCUGCUUUUCUAUUGCUGUAUUUUCCUUUAUUUUUCUUCCUUCCUGGGAGAUAAGGAUGGGCUGCAGUUACACAUGAAAAAUAAGUGAAAGUCACGUAAAUUUUUCAGUACAUGUGUUCUGUUUGCAAAAAGACAGCAUAAGAAUCUGAUGAAAAAAGAGCAAUAGGAAGACAUGUAAGCAUGUAAAAAUCCACUCCAGGCAGUAGAUGUAUGCAACUUUCUGGAAUCUCUUGGUGGAGCAUGUAUUAAAUUUCUGCUUUUCAGUUGAUCUGAUACAGGUGUAGCGACGACCACAGGCCGAUGUCAUUAAUUGUAAUGUUCUGUAGGAGUAAUCAAUGAACUCUGUUUCCUGAAAACAGUUUCACCUUUGAGCUAUUAGCGCUAUAAUGAGGAGGGAGCAGUAUAUACUUACAUAAAGAACUUAGAAUCUAUUAGCACCUGUGCUGAGCACUAGAGCUGCUGAUACUUUGCAUGCAAAUUGUAGUCAUCAUCUGAGAAGAAGCAGAGUUCAUAGGUUCAAUAUUCUCUCACUUUCAAUCUCCUAUGUCAGCUAUGUCUUAACCAGCUGGGGGCAGAAUUACAUUCUGGAAAUUAGUGAGAAAAAAAGGUAAAAAUUGAAAAUCUACUGUUUCUGCAUCUAGCCUCCCCAUUCAUAUGUUACAAGUCAGCAUGAAAAAUUCUAGCAAGUAUAAAUGAUAUCUGAUUUCACAUUAUAUUUUUUAAGUGUCAGUACUCAAGUAGGUUUACAUUUGACAGGUGAUUUAAAUACUUCAGGAUGUUUCUAUAGCCAUAAGAAAAAAUCUUUAUCAGGAUAAAAAAAUUGAUGAAACUAUUAAUUUUGUACUAAUGCAAGGAACAUUACUACUCUUUCUUAUGUGCAGAUGUAUGAGGCAUUAUAUUCAUCUUUAUAAUUUUUCUAAAUUUUUCAUUGCCUGAGGAUAUUUCAGGGACAGAUCAUUUAUAUUGUUUAUACUAUAUUUAUCUUCUAUACCGAUUCUUGAAUGCUAUGCUCUGAGUAUACACCUUAUUAUGAUUCGUGCAAUCUUUCCAUAAUGCUGAGAUAGACACAUCUGUUUUUCUGUAAGUCUUCUAAUUUUUUAUUUUUGGCAAAGAAAUGGUGUUUUUUUUCACUGUAUGCCAAAUAUAUGCCAAAAUAACAUUUUCUUACCUACAGCAAAUGUAUGGCUCAGCCAUCUCACAAGCUUUAAUACCUUUUUCCUCACCUCUCUCUAAAAAGAAACAAUUGUGAUGAAUCUCUAUGCUCAGUUUUUGAUCAGCAUGAAACAGUUCUCUGCUUAAUCCUAUCUGAAAUAAAAUUAAAAUGGGUCUGUUGUGAACAUUGCUACUCAGAAAGGAGACAUUAAGAUCCCAACCAUAUACCAGCAGAGUAAAACAGUGCACAGAGUGAAUGAAUCAGUAUUGAGAAAAGCACUCCUAUGGGCAACAAAUAUUUUGCAUCUCUGGCUCACUUUCUCAGUAGGUUCAUGGAAGUUAAAUCUUGUUAAAUAUGAAAUCUCCCAAAAUGUGACAAUCUUUUGCCAGUGAAAAUAAGAAUAAUCCACAGGAUUUGUGUUGGCUUCAAAAUCUAGCAAUUUUCAAAUAUUUCUGAAAAUUCAUGAGUUUUUGUUU